Molecule: ribosomal RNA, 253 nt
Filed under: uncultured bacterium
Lineage: Bacteria
Description: partial 16S ribosomal RNA
Rfam family: Bacterial small subunit ribosomal RNA
Source: RNAcentral
UACGUAGGGGGCAAGCGUUGUCCGGAAUCAUUGGGCGUAAAGAGCGUGUAGGCGGCUCGGUAAGUCCGCUCUGAAAGCCCGGGGCUCAACCCCGGGAGGCGGGCGGAUACUGUCGGGCUAGAGUCCGGAAGAGGCGAGUGGAAUUCCUGGUGUAGCGGUGAAAUGCGCAGAUAUCAGGAGGAACACCGGUGGCGAAGGCGGGUCUCUGGGCCGAUACUGACGCUGAGGAGCGAAAGCGUGGGGAGCAAACAGG